GCCGAGCUGGGUAACUCUAGCUUGUAACCCAAGUGGGGGCAUCGAGGUGAUGGAACAUGGCUAUGGCUGUGCUUGUUCGGGAUGGUGGCUGCACCAUGUUGGCGUGCCUACUCCAAGUUGAGAGUUGAGGCGUGGUGCUUGGGCUAAGGCGGAGGUGUCAUGACUCCUAGACAAGAGGGCAAAGCGUGAGGCUGGUUUCACAGAGCAGCGAACACCUCUGGCUCCUAACAGUGGAGGGAUCACAUGCCACUGCACUUUCAUCCCACUGUGGCCUAGCUAGCCAAGCUACUUGAACCAUCACUUUU
Non-coding RNA from Lupinus angustifolius (narrow-leaved blue lupine), 305 nucleotides. The record is from Rfam. Lineage: Eukaryota; Viridiplantae; Streptophyta; Magnoliopsida; Fabales; Fabaceae.